GGACCCGCACAAGCGGUGGAGCAUGUGGUUUAAUUCGAUGCAACGCGAAAAACCUUACCUACUCUUGACAUACUUGGAAGCUCUUGUAAUGAGAGUGUGCCUUUUGGAACCAAGAUACAGGUGCUGCAUGGCUGUCGUCAGCUCGUGUCGUGAGAUGUUCCGUUAAGUCGGAUAACGAGCGCAACCCUUACCCUUAUUUGCCAGCGAUUCGGUCGGGAACUAUAAGGGGACUGCCGGUGAUAAACCGGAGGAAGGUGAGGACGACGUCAAGUCAUCAUGGCCCUUACGAGUAGGGCUACACACGUGCUACAAUGCGGCGUACAAAGCGAUGCAAGAUCGUGAGAUGGAGCAAA
RNAcentral lists this ribosomal RNA (353 nucleotides) under uncultured bacterium. RNAcentral's name for it is "bacterial SSU rRNA". It matches the Rfam family "Bacterial small subunit ribosomal RNA", at positions 917 to 1271 of the family's 1533-position model. The record is from RNAcentral.